CUUAGCAACAAGUGGUUGACUUGUUAAGAGCAAGGCUGACUCAUUGAUGAAUCACAGGGGUCCUUGUGGAUUCAAGUGAUCGUUGGGACUUUGAGAUUGCCUCCAAGAUAAAAUUUUGAAUAAAGAUGGACAGUUGACUUAAUAUUUCUUGGACUUGUUAAAGAAGUUUUAUCAAAAGAAACAAACACAUACACACACACA
This is a long non-coding RNA of Octopus sinensis (East Asian common octopus), 201 nucleotides long. RefSeq lists it as uncharacterized. The record is from RefSeq and is a predicted model, not a curated record. The transcript is spliced from 2 exons. Lineage: Eukaryota; Metazoa; Mollusca; Cephalopoda; Octopoda; Octopodidae.